RNAcentral lists this long non-coding RNA (373 nucleotides) under Lathyrus oleraceus (garden pea). Its description in RNAcentral is "Pisum sativum (pea) long non-coding RNA (PSAT_LNC041056)". The record is from RNAcentral. Lineage: Eukaryota; Viridiplantae; Streptophyta; Magnoliopsida; Fabales; Fabaceae.
GAUGAUGUCCUGACCCCACCUAACUUAGUUUAAUUUUUCAUAAUUUUUGUGAUUAAUUUUACUAUUUAUUUGACAUUUUUUAAGUUAACUUGACUUUUCGGUUGACUAACCUAACUUAGUUUAAUUUUUCAUAAUUUUUGUGAUUAAUUUUACUAUUUAUUUGACAUUUUUUAAGUUAACUUGACUUUUCGGUUGACUUUUCUAUGAUUGAUGUUUGACAUAGGGAUUGCUUAGGACAAUUGAAGAGAUCUUUUGAUCCUCCCUUGUUCAUCUCAUGUGCCACAUAUUAGAGGCCUUUCAUCUUGAUUUUAUUUGAUCCUUGCAUCAUUUCCCGAUUAAAUUGUUCAUUGAUUCUUUGUGUGCAUAAUUUCAC